This 8031-nucleotide unclassified non-coding RNA is filed under the name Hevea brasiliensis (rubber tree). The record is from RNAcentral. Lineage: Eukaryota; Viridiplantae; Streptophyta; Magnoliopsida; Malpighiales; Euphorbiaceae.
UUGUAUUAAAUUUUAUAAUUUACUUGAAAUACAUUUAAAUUCUUGCUCAUUUCAACUGCACAACUAUACAAAUAGAGCCUAGUAUUAUCCCAAACCAUCACCUAAAACAUUCAAACAAUUGGGAUAGGCAAGUGCAAUUCACAAUGUUUAUGUUUAUAGCUAUAAGAUGAACAAAAUUAAAAUAAUAAAACUAAAAUUUAUGUUUGCAUUUUAUGGCUUGGACCAUCUCCAAACUGGAUUCAGCUUUCUUCAAAUGCACAGGCUAAUGUUUGGACUUGCCAUACUAGUGGAGGAGUGCCUCUCUCCUUAUAUGUUCGUCACUUGUGUAGAAAGACUUUCCCACCUUAUUCUUAAAAAGGUGCAAUGAAAUGAAUGGAAGAAUUUUAUAGAAAAAAAAGGGCAAUCAGCAAAAACCAUGAACUCAAGAAUAUAUCCUGCAAAAAAAGGCAAUCAGUGGAAGGAAGAAUUUUAUAAAGAAAAUCCCUAGCCAAUCAAAGGGCCAACUUAACCUUUUUUUCUGGAGUUCCAAAGGUUGCCAUCAUUCAUCAACAAUGGUGAAGUGUGGCAUAUUCUCUUUAUUCUCUUUCUCUUUCUUGUAACGAGCGACAUGCUCAAGAUACUCUUGAAGUUCUUUCUCCAAUUUUUCAAUGAACUGACUUGUAUGCUCUAGGGAUUGCUCGUACCUAUACUUUUCCAGGGCCUUCUGUUUAGAUAGGGUAUCUGGAGGUGACAUAACUUUUGGUUGAACAUAGUUUUUUCCUCUAUAGAAUAUGAUAGUAUUGUUAGGUUUUAUGUCAAUCACAAUGCCUUUGCUGAGUCGAGUAAGCUCUUCAGCAUAUUCAUGAAUUUGCCCUGGCUUGCAAGGUUUGCAAAUAACCUUCACUGUUUCAUGCUUCUUCCAAUGAAGAUGCAUAUUGAGAACAACGCCUCCGAAUACUCCUCGUCUUCCAACUAGAAUAAAGUUCUUCUUCUUCUCUCCAGUACGCUUGAGGUAAUGCUUCUCUUCCUCGGUUAAUAUUUCAGGAUCAUAUGUUUCAGCUGGCAUUGUGGGAACCUCAAAUUUCCUCAACUUCUCAAUCAACCAUGCCUCCUUUCGCUUGGCCUUGUCAAGUUUAUAUCUAAUCCGAACUUCUGGAUUUGGGGAAUUCAUCUUCUUUUUGGCCUUGAGACGAUAGAACCUGAGUUCAUUCAGUUUGGCCUUUCUAGACAUUUUGACCCUUUUGGUGGUCUUCUUCCCAUUUUCUGGAGAACCAUUUUCAUCAGGCUGCUUACUAAUAGAAAACCUGACAACAGGACUGUCUGUCUUCAGCUCAAUUGACGCACCGCUCAUGUAUCUUCCAUGUAUCCAAUUUCUGAGAAAAUUAUGACUAACAAACACAUUUAACCUGUGUGUCCAUAAAAAAUAAGGAGGAGAAAGUACGCUUGGUGCCUCUCGAAAAGGCAAUGCAGCCCUGUAAUUUCUCAGGUGCACAAAGGUGAUGUUGUUAAUAGAUGGAGUAAUGGAAGUGGCUUGGAGAAAUGAUGAGAGAUUGGGCCCUUUAUGAACUAGAAAAUAGUACCAAACCAAAGAUUCCCUGCAUUAAGUGCACAUGUCAUGUAUUGCAGAGGCAUUUUAAAUGAUGAGAACGCAACAAUAUGGAUUGGUCCAAGACUUUCCCAUUUCCCAUUAAAGGAUGCAGAUGCACUAAUUGCAUGAUAGCUUCAAAGAAUUAUACAAACUAUGAGGUGCAGAUGUAAGGAAGAAAUCAACAGUUCUGGCCAACUACUCUGCUCCUUUGUCAAAACCCCAGAAUCUAUCUCUUAUGGUCCUAAUAUCCUCUCUCCUUGGCUAGCUGUUUAUUUUAAGGCAGUAGUCACCUGGUAUCAAAGCUGAUCUUGUGUCCACAGCUCAACACAUUCCCAUCAUGGAAUUUUAUGGACAUUUUUAGAACCAUAAGCAAGUGAACAUAUUCCUUCAAUUUUAUUUAGUAAAAUGUCUGACAACUAGAUGUUACAGAACAAUUAAGGGGAAAACCCUACAAUUCUACAGAACAGAACAGAACAGAACAGAUAAUCCAACAUUACAAAUUUGAAGCAUCCUAUAAUGUUGAGCUAAAAAUAGUCAUACAAAAGAAAGGCCUUAAUCACUGAUAUCUAAAUAAUAAAAAGCCUCCAUUUGGUUGCCAAGAAAAUAAUCAGUUCAAAGGAAACACACCUUUUGAUAGCGUAGUUAAGUCCAAUAGUGAUGCUGCCCUUGAUUGAACCCACAGCGCCUCUGAUUGAAGCAAACAUUACUGUCUCAUAAACAAAUUCGACAAAGAAACAAACAUAUGACGGUUUUAUUAUUUUGGAGUGAGAUCACCAUGAGAAAAGUUCAUGCCUUCCGGAAUUUGAGGAACCAUAACUUCAUUUUAACUGAUUUUGAGAAAUCUGAUUCCAUGCAGUCUCAUUUGCAAUCUGCGAGCAGGGGCAGACUUAAACUUUUUGAGGUUGAAAUCUACAGAUGAAAUGCAUUCAGCUAGGAAUAAUCUUCCCCAGAUGCUAAAAGUUUCGUUCAAGCCUUUUCUCUUUCCAUUUCAGCGUUUCUCUUUCAUUCCUCUUUCCACACUGCCAUCUUUCCUCUUCUUUGUAUGGGCAAAAAUUGAGAACAUAAAGGACAAUUUUGGCAUUAACUUAUAAAGAUAGCUCUUUUAUUUAAAAACGGCACCGUUUGAUCCAGAUCACUGCAUUUUAACAUGCCCUUUGUGCAGAUAAACGGCGCUAAUUUCAGAGUUCACUUUCAGGCGGUGUCUCCAAAAAUGUCGUUGAGGGCUCUCCUUCUACCCUCACAAAAUACCCUUACAAGUUGUCCAGUGGGCGAAACUGGAGCAAAUUCUAGAUGGGCACCACCCAAAUUCUCAACAUCGCGCGGAGGUCUCUGCAAAACCAAGCAUUCAUCCAAAAGUUUGUGCUUGACAACGGGAAAUGGCGCAAUUACAAAGAACCCACAUGGGAUUGGAGAGGAAGAUGGCUUGAUCAUUGUCGACCACGGUUCGCGUCGUAAGGAAUCAAAUCUCAUGCUAAACGAGUUUGUUGCCAUGUUUAGAGAGAAAACUGGGUACCCAAUUGUAGAGCCUGCUCAUAUGGAGCUGGCAGAGCCCUCAAUAAGAGAUGCAUUUGGUUUAUGUGUUCAUCAAGGGGCAAACCGGGUGAUUGUAAGUCCAUUCUUUCUCUUUCCUGGACGUCAUUGGCACCAGGUAACUCAUUGUAAUUUUCUCUGGUAACUGGAUUACCAACUUAAUCUUUCCCCUUAGAGCUUUACUUUAGUGCCUAAGACAGAUUCAUUCACAUGUUAUUUGAAAGGAUAUUCCUUCCUUAACUGCUGAAGCUGCUAAGGAGCACCCUGGUGUGUCUUAUAUCAUAACUGCACCUCUUGGCCUGCAUGAGUUACUAGUGGAUGUUGUGAAUGAUAGGAUCAAACACUGCUUAAACCAAGUGGCGGGAGAUGCAGAUGAAUGUGCAGCAUGUGCUGGAACAGGCAAAUGCAAGCUCUAUUAGUCUGUGCAAUUGCAAAUUGAAGUCACAUUUGACUGGCAUACUAUUGCUGUUCUCAGUGGGAAAAUUGAACAUAUACUUGAGAGCAGAUGUGAUCAUAUAGAGGAAAUCAAGUAAAUAGAUGUUUCCACUGAGCAUUAUAUGCCGCUAUACUGCUGGUGCCUAAGUAGGACCCAGAAUUUCUUUUACGAAUCUGUAGUUCCUGGGCAUUUUCUGUACUGUAAUUAAAAAGAUAUAUUUACAAGUUCAAUUGUUUUCUGUAACUGUGUAUUGCCUAUCCUUGUGAUCUAUGUUACGCUUGUGUUCUAACAUUAGAUCUUGACCCUUUUGUGGUAUGCAUAAUUCACAUCCUAUUCUACAUUUCUGAACCAAAGAAAUUUUUUCGCCAAAUUCCAAAUAGUUGAGAAUUUCUCCAUGUUGAUUUUCAUGGUAGCAGUGACUCGAGCCUCAGCUUGAGCAGGGGUCUCUUCUUCAACCGUUGCUUGUACAUUACUUCCGAAAUUCCGAGUCUGUCGUUUCAGCUGCUUGUUGAAUGACUUUGCUGCUGCAAAAACAUUACUAGGCCUUUCCCAACCUUGUCCGAAUACACCAUAUCCUUCCUUAAGUUUAGGUUGAAUCAAGAACUCUAGCACUGCCAACUCCUCUUUGUCAACCCAAUGAAUGCAGUUCACAGGGCAUGAAUCAACAGAAACCUGAAUAUUUUGGUCAUUGUCUCCGAAUUGAACUUUGACUCGUGCGCAUCCAAGGGCUUCAUCCAUCACAAACGUGUUACUUGCAUGGUGCACACAUUCUCUGCAACCUAUGCAAGCAUUCUCAUCAACAAAUACUGCUUCGGGUCUGAAUGGCCCUUUCCAGGAGCUGAAACCCAUGACAUUGUUGUUUCUUCCAGACCGCAUUCUCAAUUGACCGAUGGAAACAUCAUACUCCUUCCUGAGAUCCUCUCGCAUAAGGAUCUUAUAAGCCUCAUUCAGCAAUAGAGUAUACUCAUGGCCCUUUUGGCCAGCAAUAUCAGGGUGAUACUUCUUCUGCAACUUCCUAUAAGCCUCUUUGAUUUCUCUGGCAUCUGAAUCAACAGAAACUCCCAGCAACUCAUAGUAAUUCUUGUCUGUUCUUACACUUCCUGCCCUUGUGGUACGGCAUCUUAUCACAGGGCAUCUCUGCCUCCAUCUCAAAAUCAAAGACAAGAAACUAACACUAUAGCAGUACAUGUGCCAUCUCAAUACUAGAAAAACAAUUAAAAUUAUGCAAUUCAAGCAGAGUAUGAGAUUAAAUUAAGAGUAUGAGAUUAAUUAAGUACCUGGUGUUUGGAUUGAAGCAACCAUGAAUAUGGGAAGCUUUGGUCACAGAAAAUGGAUAAGCUGGAGCCAUGGAGAGUGACAUAUUUUUCAGUCCACUGCCUCUGGUUUUUUCUUUAGUGCCCAAAUUUAGCAGCUGGGCUUAACAUUAGAUUUAGAUAUUCCUGGAACUCAGAAAGAUAUUUUUCUCAGUUCAUCUACCAAUCACAGCAUUCCAAGUCAGCAAUUCAAAGUGCAACCCAAGGAUCCCACAUGUGCACCCAGUCAGAAGAUAGAAACGACGCCGUUGACAAAUGGGAAGAGAAACGGCACCGUAUCGCAGACAGAAUGAUUCGUUUCAAAAUUCUCAGAUUCGAGAGCCACUAUUUUCAGCCUUUUGGAAGCCUUCAUUCAUAGGAGGGAGGGAUGACACUUGACAGAAACUAUUUUAACAGCACAAAAUGGCCUACGUGGGAAAAUUCCUCAGUCCAAUUCGACAAUCGCUGUCUUCGAUAGCCUCUUUUUACUGUUCUUCGCUAAUAUCUCGAAGAAAACCAUUUUAUGGCAAAUCAUGGAUGAAACAGCUUAAACCUACAAUACAGAAUCCGUGUUCAAAAUUUCAGUGUAAAAUGAACAUUCACACACAAUAUGUUCGUAAUGUGUAUUUAUCAGGAAGCAUCCUUGGUGUUUCAUUUAUGAUUGGAUCUAUAGGCUUUUCGCAUCAGGUUGUGUAUGCCAUGGAUGGACAAGACAUUUUGGUGGAUGAUAGAGAGUUUUUAGAUGCCUCAGAUACAGAAAGAAAUCCUCCUAUGUUAUGGAUUUUUGUCAGAAAAUUAUGGCUACCUGCUUUUUUCUUUCUGACAGUGUUGGUGAAUUGGGAUCAUCCCAUCAUUCUUUUGACUAAAGUUGCCCUUUUCCUCCUCAGCACGAAGCCCAGCCCUUUAUCAGUUUAUGUAUUUGUUGAACAGUUGUGUCAUCAAUCUAUGCGCCAAGAACCCUACUUGUACUUACUAAAGUCAUUAUAUGCCAACAAAGUUGAAGUCCAGGAUUACAAACUUUUCUGCCUUGCCACGGUUGCAGUAAAAGGCCAGACAAUUACUUUGGUUGGCGUUCUUGGUGGUUGGUGGGUUUUGCCAUUGUCAGAAAGAGCAUUUUCUGUGUUUUGGGAUAGUGCUUUUUAUUGAGAAAAUAAGGUAACUUAACUGCUGAAAAAAAUUUGUUGCUAAUCAACAUUGAAGGCAUGAUGUUUGGCUUUUGAAUUAGUUGAAUUACCUUUAAAAAAAGUUGCUGUUCAUUUCCCUAGUCCACAACCUAUCUGGAGGAAGUUCUGUCCUAUGGCCUCUUCUUCCUUUCCCCUUUUCAUAUAUCCAAUUGAAAAGAACGAAUAAAUGUAUCUUCUACAGCCACAAUGUUAAUGCUGAAACAUGUGUUGGCAUGUGGAGAGUCAAAUCCAUAAGAUUCUUUGCACAGCAGUCUCAGUGUGUCGUAGAAAUAGCAAUAUGCUUAGGCCACUGAAGUAUUUUACACUUCAGAACAAAAAAACUAUAUUUCUGAAAUUUUUUGUGCAGGUACAUGACAGGAUAAAAUAAUUUAUAGACCUUAUAAUCAUUUUUCUUCAAAUUCCUUUUGUGAUCUUUUCUAGGGAGAAAUAUUGCAAUUUAUACCUAAAUUUCCAUUUAUUUCCUCUAUAAAGCUACAUAUUGUUGGACAUUCUUUCUUGAGUUCUUGAGUAACAAUUAAACAAAUGUAAGCCGGGUGUUCAUGCGCCCGGACUCCAUUUCUUGUGUCUUAUACAAGCAAGUGAUAAUCUUCAGCAUCUUCACCAGCUGAAUUAAUGUUGCUAGAAGGGCCACAGAACAUGCUACCCGAUUGAGGGAAGUAGAUGAAGGUGACGGGGAGAGUGAAAAUAAUGAUCAUAAGGCCCAUUAGAGAUAUACUUGUUUGCUUUGAGAAUCUAGAGCCUGAAAACAGUAACAAUUGGGUCACUGCUGCCCCCACAGUUCCUCCACUCCCUGUCAUUCCUGAUAUCACUCCUAACGACCUUUUGGAAACGAAAGGAACCACACCAAACGUGAGGCCAGAAGCAGCUUGAACAAACACGGAGAACAAACACAUCACAGCAAUAGAAUUCCAAAGAUAACUCAUUUGCCCAAGUAAAAAACAAAGUAACCCAGAAGUGGUCUGCACCAUCCACAGCCCCCACAGCCUCCCUCUAAUCCCAAAUCUCUUCCCCAUCUUAUCGGAUAAAACCCCUCCCAUAGGCCUGGAAAAGAAGUUGGCCAAUCCAAAACUUGCGGCAAUCAUCCCUGCAACCUGAAGAUUCACUCCAAAUCUGUCGUAGAAGUACUGUGCAAUAAUAUUAUCAGUUGUCAAUUCUGAACCAAAGCUAAACCCAUAUGUUAAUCCCAGAAUCCAACCUCUGUAAUUCUUUAACCCAUUAAAAAGAAACUCAGGAAAGUUUUGUUUCUGCUGUUUCCCAGCUCUCUCUGAGUAUUUAUAGUCCCCAGAAGGGAGGUCUUGGCCAUAGGCCAGGACCAUUAUAGCUGUUAGAGCUUGAAAAAUUCCCGGGAUAAGAAACGAGACUCGCCAAGCAGUGAAGGAAGGUACAUGUAAUGAAUUCAUUAUAAAAGAGUAAAUCAGUGGCAUAACUAACUGUGCCACGCCGGUUCCCAUGUUAGCCCAGCCAGCGGAGACACCAUUGGCGAGCCCGACCACACAUCCAGAGAACAUGCAGCUCAUCCAGAACUGGUUAGCUACAAAGUUAGCUAAAGAGAAUCCAACAAGAAAACGAACGAGGAUAAAAUAAGCAGGAGAAGUAACAAAACAAGUAGACACGAUAAUAGGAGCAGUAAUGAGAGAGAGAGUAGCAGAGGCAAUACGAGGACCCAUGACAUCGCAGACAGGCCCCAUGGCAAGACGAGAGAAGAUGGAGCCAACAAACGAGGCAAUGCCUGCGUUGUCUAUGUCAGCGUCCGUAAGGUUAAGGUUGUCGCGGAUUACAGGCAAAAGAGGAGGGAUAGAAAAGGUGGAUAAGAAGCAGGAGAAGAGAGAUAACCAUGAUAGGUGAAAAGCAAGCAUGUGAGGUGAUGAUAAUGAGAGUGGCCGAAAUUUAGUAGCUUUGUAUUCUUCAUCUACUGGAAGAGAGAAAGGAAUUUCCAUGGACGAUUUGAAAAUUCACAAAGAAAAUGGCAAGAAAGUUAAUUAAUAUAUUUGUUGUAUAGUGUAUAAUCAUUAUUGCGUGUGU